UGGAGAAGAAAUGAGCUUGCCUGUGGCC
This 28-nucleotide non-coding RNA is filed under the name Homo sapiens (human). Lineage: Eukaryota; Metazoa; Chordata; Mammalia; Primates; Hominidae. The record is from RNAcentral.